RNAcentral lists this ribosomal RNA (857 nucleotides) under uncultured bacterium. Its description in RNAcentral is "bacterial SSU rRNA". It matches the Rfam family "Bacterial small subunit ribosomal RNA", at positions 35 to 886 of the family's 1533-position model. The record is from RNAcentral.
GCUGGCGGCGUGCCUAACACAUGCAAGUCGAACGGUAACAGGUCUUCGGAUGCUGACGAGUGGCGCACGGGUGAGUAACGCGUGGAUAUCUGCCUAUUAGUGGGGGACAACUUUCGGAAACGGAAGCUAAUACCGCAUAAUCUCUACGGAGGAAAGCAGGGGACCUUUCGGGGCCUUGUGCUGAUAGAUGAGUCCGCGUCUGAUUAGCUAGUUGGUAGGGUAAAGGCCUACCAAGGCGAUGAUCAGUAUCUGGUUUGAGAGGAUGAUCAGACACACUGGAACUGAGACACGGUCCAGACUUCUACGGAAGGCAGCAGUGGGGAAUAUUGCACAAUGGGGGAAACCCUGAUGCAGCGACGCCGCGUGUGGGAAGAAGGCUUUAGGGUUGUAAACCACUUUCAAUUGGGAAGAAGAGAUGAGUACUAAUAUUAUUCUGAUUUGACGGUACCUUUAGAAGAAGCACCGGCUAAUUUCGUGCCAGCAGCCGCGGUAAUACGAAAGGUGCAAGCGUUGUUCGGAUUUACUGGGCGUAAAGCGAGUGUAGGUUGUUUAUUAAGUCGGAUGUGAAAUCCCAGGGCUCAACCCUGGAACUGCAUUCGAUACUGAUAGGCUAGAGUUCGGGAGGGGUAAGCGGAAUUCCGUGUGUAGCAGUGAAAUGCGUAGAUAUACGGAGGAACACCUGAGGCGAAGGCGGCUUACUGGACCGAUACUGACACUGAGACUCGAAAGCGUGGGUAGCAAACAGGAUUAGAUACCCUGGUAGUCCACGCCCUAAACGAUGUCAACUAGCCGUUGCGGGUAUCGACCCCUGCAGUGGCGAAGCUAACGCGAUAAGUUGACCGCCUGGGGAGUACGGU